CCUACGGGUGGCAGCAGCAAGGAAUCUUCGGCAAUGGGCGCAAGCCUGACCGAGCAACGCCGCGUGGAGGACGACGGCCUUCGGGUUGUAAACUCCUUUUCUGGGGGACGAUACGGACGGUACCCCAGGAAUCAGCCCCGGCUAACUCUGUGCCAGCAGCCGCGGUAAUACAGAGGGGGCAAGCGUUGUCCGGACUUACUGGGCGUACAGCGCGCGCAGGCGGUGCCAUAUGUGCCCGGUGACAUCGGCUCGCUCAACGAGCCGCGGUCUGGGUAGACAGUGGCGCUGGAGGCAGGGAGAGGGAUGUGGAAUACCCGGUGGAGCGGUGAAAUGCGUAGAGAUCGGGUGGAACACCAGCGGCGAAGGCGGCAUCCUGGCCCUGUUCUGACGCUGAGGCGCGAUAGCGUGGGGAGCAAACGGGAUUAGAUACCCGGGUAGUC
This 440-nucleotide ribosomal RNA is filed under the name uncultured bacterium. RNAcentral describes it as "bacterial SSU rRNA". It matches the Rfam family "Bacterial small subunit ribosomal RNA", at positions 338 to 795 of the family's 1533-position model. The record is from RNAcentral.